CUAGGGUGAGGCGGUAAAACCGAUGUUUUUUGAAAACCGAAUUACUCGAUGUUACUUUUGGAGAAAGACCGGAAAACCGAAAAAAACGGAGGAAAACCGAAAUCGAACCAUACUUAUACGGGUCUGUUGCAAAUGAAUCAACUUUGGCAUUUACACACGAAAACUAAAGAGAUUUUGUUUAAAAUUUGAUAACAUCUUCAAAAUACCUUACGUUUAAUAUCAUUCUACAAUUUCGCGCGAGCUUGAGGUCUUGAACGGAUAAGCGGAUCAAACGAUGGUGAAUUUUGAUUCGCUGGUAAUAAAGGCGGACGUCUGCGAAGACAGGUUUAAGAUAUUCAUAUAGCGUGUUGUGUCUUUUUUAAACCGUAGUUUCGAUUUUCGAACAUAUUUUUAAAAAAAAACCCCGGUUCACUCGGUUUUUUCGGGGUUUUUUGGUCGGUUUUCGGUUUUUUGUAGAAACCGCCUCACACUAGGGAGAAUCUUUAUUCGUGGGAAGGC
Molecule: non-coding RNA, 498 nt
Organism: Paramuricea clavata
Lineage: Eukaryota; Metazoa; Cnidaria; Anthozoa; Malacalcyonacea; Plexauridae
Source: the annotation of a GenBank genome assembly